UGGGCCUACGGGACGCAGCAGUGAGGAAUAUUGGUCAAUGGUCGGGAGACUGAACCAGCCAAGCCGCGUGAGGGAUGAAGGUACAGAGUAUCGUAAACCUCUUUUGUCAGGGAACAAAGGCGGGGACGUGUCCCCGGAUGAGUGUACCUGAAGAAAAAGCAUCGGCUAACUCCGUGCCAGCAGCCGCGGUAAUACGGAGGAUGCGAGCGUUAUCCGGAUUUAUUGGGUUUAAAGGGUGCGCAGGCGGAGGUGCAAGUCAGCGGUCAAAUUGCGGUGCUCAACCCCGUACUGCCGUUGAAACUGCA
This 305-nucleotide ribosomal RNA is filed under the name uncultured bacterium. RNAcentral's name for it is "bacterial SSU rRNA". It matches the Rfam family "Bacterial small subunit ribosomal RNA", at positions 334 to 637 of the family's 1533-position model. The record is from RNAcentral.